RNAcentral lists this ribosomal RNA (465 nucleotides) under uncultured bacterium. Its description in RNAcentral is "partial 16S ribosomal RNA". It matches the Rfam family "Bacterial small subunit ribosomal RNA", at positions 338 to 795 of the family's 1533-position model. The record is from RNAcentral.
CCUACGGGUGGCUGCAGUGGGGAAUAUUGCGCAAUGGGCGAAAGCCUGACGCAGCGACGCCGCGUGAGGGAUGAAGGUCUUCGGAUCGUAAACCUCUGUCAGCAGGGAAGAACGGUCACUGUGCUAAUCAGCAGUGACUUGACGGAACCUGCAAAGGAAGCACCGGAUAACUACGUGCCAGCAGCCGCGGUAAUACGGAGGGUGCGAGCGGUAAUCGGAAGUACUGGGCGUAAAGCGCUCGUAGGCGGUAUGUCAAGUCAAGGGUGAAAUCCCCGCGCUCAACGUGGGAACUGCCUUUGAAACUGGCAAACUGUAGUGUGUGAGAGGAUGGUGGAAUUCCAAGUGUAGGAGUGAAAUCCGUAGAUAUCUGGAGGAACAUCAGUGGCGAAGGCGACUAUCUGGCACAUAACUGACGCUGAGGAGCGAAAGCGUGGGUAGCAAACAGGAUUAGAUACCCCAGUAGUC